CUUUCUAAUGACAGCUGCAUGUAGAUCCUGGAUCUGAGCCUAUAAAAACCUAUUUGUCUCUGCAGAGAGCAUCUUCUCCAUUCAGCCUUCUGACUGCCAGGGGAGCCACAAGCAGAGCUGAUCUUGGAAGUAAACGGUACAUAUUGGAAUCAUAAAAUGUCAGUCCAGCCCAUGUCCGUUAGCAAUAGCGGCAGGAGUGUCAGCAUUCAGAUUACCAACCAAACCGACAACUUCAUUCUGCAAAACCCAAAGGUAUGGAACUACAGUGGUUAUGCCGACACCCCGCCUCCGCCCCAAAUCAAUCCAGGGCAGAAUGGAGCCUGUUCCUUCGAUAAAACCUCGGGCUCACUAUGGGGCUCCGCUGGUGUUAUGACUUAUGAACUGUACAAUGAGAGAAAAAACAGCUCCACAGUGAUGUUAGCCAUCAUGUUCUCUGUGCCCCAAGACACCGCAUACAGUAACUGGUUUGCUGUGGGCGUCUUUGAUGUCGACCGUGACUGUGACAAGGAUCUGUACAAUGACAUGUACUAUAAUGAUGAGAAUGGUUUUUUAAGAAGGCAGGCUGGCACACAGAUCAACUACGAAGGGUUGGUGGCCACUAUGAGUGCUGAUGUCAACAGCAUCCUCACGUUGACUGCUACCUUUCUUGAACCUGAGAGCGAUGAAUGACAUGGUAGUUUGGAUGAUGAGGUCUUUCUCAAACAGCUGCAUGUAGAUCCUUCUAGAUUCACUGUCACCAGACAAACUUGUGGCUGGGAUCUAAUAUAUAAUGCUAUUUGAUUUAAUAACAUAAACAAUUAAAAUGAU
This is a long non-coding RNA of Osmerus eperlanus (European smelt), 807 nucleotides long. RefSeq lists it as uncharacterized. The transcript has 3 exons. Lineage: Eukaryota; Metazoa; Chordata; Actinopteri; Osmeriformes; Osmeridae. The record is from RefSeq and is a predicted model, not a curated record.